Molecule: ribosomal RNA, 465 nt
Filed under: Steinernema beddingi
Lineage: Eukaryota; Metazoa; Nematoda; Chromadorea; Rhabditida; Steinernematidae
Description: eukaryotic LSU rRNA
Rfam family: Eukaryotic large subunit ribosomal RNA
Source: RNAcentral
GGAAAGUUGCAAAGUACUUUGAAGAGAGAGUUCAAGAGGACGUGAAACCGAUUGGAUGGAAGCAGAUGAAGUUGACGAACGUGCGUUGUAUUCAGAGUUGCAUUUAUGUGUAAUUUGUUAUUGCGGCCAAUGUGGUCUGACGCAUUCGGUUAAUGAGAUGUGCUUAGCAAUGAUGGCGGCCCUGUAGAGGGAUUACCAAUCAGUGUACGGUGCUCGGUAUAGCUGGAUGUUUUUGUCGGUCUGAAAGUCAGUGCCUCAUCUGACCCGUCUUGAAACACGGACCAAGGAGUGUAGCGUUUACGCAAGUCUUAGAUUGUGUCAAAACUUUGAGGCGUAACGAAAGUAAAGAUAGCUUCGGAUUAUUAACAUGGGAUGCGUUGUUUCGUGUAAACGGCGUCGGACCAUGGUUCUGUCGUGAUUGCUUGCAAUGCGGCGGAAAAAGAGCGUAAACGGUGCGACCCGAAA